GGAUCGAGUACCUCUUCACUGCAAUAAGGCAAGCCCCGAUGCAUGCAACCCCUUCCUUGUGUUUUGAAAUGAUUUUUACACACUUUAAGUCUAGUGAAAUGUGCAUUAAGUUUAUAGGAAUUGUUUGAAAACUAUUUGAUGCAUCGACUACCUUGAUAUACAUUCAUGUUAUAGAUACUUCUGGUGAAGUAUCAAAUAUUGUUUACAAAAAUGCUUAGCCCCGCUUAGAUCUUGUGGAUAGAGGUUGUCCUUUGCAAUAAUGCCUAGCUCAGGGGUUAUCCUGAGAAAGGAUGACUUCUACCUGCAAGAAUAUUUUCAUUGGGAGCAUGGUGGAAUCUUACUACAAAGUUCCCUAUAGUGCUCUGUUCAUCCUUAGAAACAUAAAACAAUCCUAAGGGUGGAAGUACUUAACUCGAGACUUGGGUUAGGAACAGGUGAUGCUCCACCCAAGUUAAUUAAGGAUUGGAUGCGUAUGUAGGCCUGUAUGAUCAAGGACUAUCUUAACUAACCACAUGCCCUGGAUAUGGGACAGGGUAAGCUUGAACCCGGCUAUUCCAUACAUGAAAAGACAAUCGCGCACUGGGAGUGGAGAGAUGGCGAGAGUGGCACGUACCCUCCUGGCAAAGGACCGCCUAAAAGGGGUUGUGUGCUCUCGGGUGGCACUGACCUGUUCAUGUAGUGGAGGAUCCGUGGGAAUGGUAGACAUAUGCAAAAGUUACGAGAAACAUAUGUCGUGUGGUUAGAGAUCCUCAGCUGAGGAAAUCGAUUCGGAUCGCCGUUAUAUCCCCGGAGAGUGGAGACUUGAUCUCCGACCUACAACCUAAGUCAGGAUGCAAACAUUAUGAAUAAAAAUGAUGUUGUAUUGAUGAGAUGGUGAAAUUAGACUAGAUGCAACCAGAGUCUAUUAAUAUUUAAUCUGGCGUUAAAAUAUUGAAAGUAAGGACUCACUUUAGUAAGCUAUUUCUGCAAAAGUAUCUAAGUUUUUUCUUGCUAAAGCCUUUUUCUUGAUUCCUAUUUAACCAGCAUAUCCUUGAGAGUCAUUUUUCCUUAGUCGGGUAAGACUUGCGAAAGUACACUUCGUACUCAGGGUUUUCGAACCCAUGUUGUUGUAGGUGAUGAGGAGUACUCUAGGUGUUCCUGUGGCUGGAGGGCG
This 1153-nucleotide long non-coding RNA is filed under the name Zea mays. Its description in RNAcentral is "drought responsive lncRNA". Lineage: Eukaryota; Viridiplantae; Streptophyta; Magnoliopsida; Poales; Poaceae. The record is from RNAcentral.